This 933-nucleotide ribosomal RNA is filed under the name uncultured bacterium. Its description in RNAcentral is "bacterial SSU rRNA". It matches the Rfam family "Bacterial small subunit ribosomal RNA", at positions 8 to 916 of the family's 1533-position model. The record is from RNAcentral.
AGAGUUUGAUCCCUGGGCUCAGAAUCAACGCUNNCGGCGUGCNUCAGACAUGCAAGUCGGACGCGAAAGGCUCCUUUCGGGGGCCGAGUAGAGUGGCGCACGGGUGAGUAACACGUGGAUAAUUUGCCUUUAGGUGGGGAAUAACAACCGGAAACGGUUGCUAAUACCGCAUAAUGCAGCGGCAUCUAUGAUGACAGUUGUUAAAGCGGGGGAUCGCAAGACCUCGCGCCUGAAGAGAAGUCCGCGGCAGAUUAGCUAGUUGGUAAGGUAAUGGCCUACCAAGGCGACGAUCUGUAGCCGGCCUGAGAGGGCGGUCGGCCACACUGACACUGACAUACGGGUCAGACUCCUACGGGAGGCAGCAGUCGGGAAUUUUGGGCAAUGGGCGAAAGCCUGACCCAGCAACGCCGCGUGAAGGAUGAAGUUUUUCGGAGUGUAAACUUCACAAGAAUGGGAAGAAUAAGUUGAAGCUAACACCUUCGACGAUGACGGUACCAUUUGUAAGCUCCGGCUAACUCCGUGCCAGCAGCCGCGGUAAUACGGGGGGAGCAAGCGUUGUUCGGAUUUACUGGGCGUAAAGGGCGCGUAGGCGGCGCGACAAGUCACUUGUGAAAUCUCCGGGCUCAACUCGGAACGGUCAAGUGAUACUGUCGUGCUAGAGUGCAGAAGGGGCAACCGGAAUUCUUGGUGUAGCGGUGAAAUGCGUAGAUAUCAAGAGGAACACCUGCGGCGAAGGCGGGUUGCUGGGCUGACACUGACGCUGAGGCGCGAAAGCUAGGGGAGCGAACGGGAUUAGAUACCCCGGUAGUCCUAGCCUUAAACGAUGAAUGCUUGGUGUCCGGAGUUUGAUAGUCUCCGGGUGCCGUCGCUAACGCUUUUAGCAUUCCGCCUGGGGAGUACGGUCGCAAGACUGAAACUCAAAGGAAUUGACGG